This 397-nucleotide ribosomal RNA is filed under the name uncultured bacterium. RNAcentral describes it as "partial 16S ribosomal RNA". It matches the Rfam family "Bacterial small subunit ribosomal RNA", at positions 523 to 918 of the family's 1533-position model. The record is from RNAcentral.
ACACGUAGGGGGCAAGCGUUGUCCGGAAUUACUGGGCGUAAAGGGCGUGUAGGCGGCCGAUCAAGUCAGGUGUGAAAUUUCAGGGCUCAACCCUGAGCGUGCACUUGAAACUGGUAGGCUUGAGUGCAGAAGAGGAAAGUGGAAUUCCCAGUGUAGCGGUGAAAUGCGUAGAUAUUGGGAGGAACACCAGUGGCGAAGGCGACUUUCUGGGCUGCAACUGACGCUGAGGCGCGAAAGCUAGGGGAGCAAACAGGAUUAGAUACCCUGGUAGUCCUAGCCGUAAACGAUGGGUACUAGGUGUAGGGGGUUUAGACGCCCUCUGUGCCGCAGUUAACACAUUAAGUACCCCGCCUGGGGAGUACGGCCGCAAGGCUGAAACUCAAAUGAAUUGACGGGG